GCUAACUUCCUUUAUAAUAGACAAGCUGAACAUUUCAUAGUAAUACAAGAGUUUGUUAUUUCUCUUACAUUAUUGUUCAGUUUCACCUUCUUCGUGGUCACAUUGCUUAUACAAUAUACGUAACACAAGCUUCGGUUACUAUAUACAUACACAAGCAGAGCAUCCACGCGUCUGAUUUCUACAUUUCACGAAUAAGAUUCAUCUUACCAAGAGAUAUUUAUGUCAUUGAUUUUUACAUUUUCUAAAUGACAACAUUACUUCCCUGCAUUUCCCUCGACGAAUAAAACACAGCACAGGAUGAGCUCAUCAAUGACAUCUCAUGAAUCUUGCUGAGGUUUUGGAUAAAUAACAGUGUUAUCACUAUGGUCGAGGUAAGAGAGUAGUCAUUGUUAAUUGGUUGGAUGUUGACAGAUUUGGGUUGCUCAAAAAUUGGUCUGCUUCAAGCAAAUCUCUCUCCAUGAAAAAACCAGGUUGCUUAGGAUGCGGCAGCUUCAUAUUGCUGCUCAACAUUAGAAUUACCUCAGACAUGACUGGCCUGUCCUUUGGAUCUUGUUGAACGCAAAGUAAUCCAAUUUGUAUAACUCGCAAGGCUUCAUAAUGGUUAUUGGGCUCCAAGAUCACUCCAUCAAUGAGUUCCAACAGUUUGCCUUGUUUGUAACUCACCCAUGCCUAAAAUUUAAUUAUGUAACUUAUCAGUGGUAAGAAGCAUAUAGCAUGAGGAACGUCAUAGACACUUAGUAUAUUUAUACUCACAUGCCCAAGUAGGUUUAAGCUGUGAUCAUGAUGAAUGAAUAAUCUGUUUUUCAUUCCACUUGCUAUCUCUACUAGUAAAACGCCAAAGCUGUAGACAUCGGAUUUAACAGAAAAUUGUCCAUCAAUAGCAUACUCUGGGGACAUGUAACCACUGCAAGAUUAGAAAAUGGAUACAAAUUAUCAGUUGUCAAUUGUCAUGCAAAGAAAACAUAUAAGUGCAAAGUCAUAGGAAUUCUUACUAUGUACCGACAACUCUUAACGUUUUUGCUUCACUUUCAUUUCCUCCGAAACUUCUUGCCAAGCCAAAGUCUGAAAUCUUUGGAUUCAUAUCAUGAUCAAGUAAUAUGUUACUGGCUUUGAGAUCUCUGUGUAUGAUCCUCAGCUUUGAAUCUUGAUGAAGAUAAAGAAGUCCUCUAGCAAUGCCAAUUAUUAUGUUGUAUAGCCUCGGCCAGUCCAUUGUAUUUCUUACGUUACUAUCUAUUCAUGUCAUCAAAUUAGACCAGUUCUCUAUAUAUGGGUACAUACAUGACAAAUCUUAGACAAUUGACAUAAUAUAUAUUCAGGUUGGGUCAUACCAAAAAUGAAUGAAUCUAGACUUUUGUUAGCCAGAUAUUCGUAGAUCAAAAUCCUUUCUCCUUUCUCUGUGCAGCAGCCAAGAAGCGUCACUAGAUUUCUGUGCUGAAGUUUGGCAAUACACGAAACUUCAUUUUUAAACUCAUCUAGUCCUUGACUUGAAUUUUUUGACAGCCUUUUCACCGCUAUUUCCAGUCCAUCAGCCAAUUUGCCCUGAAAAUAAGUUGUUAUGUGUGUACAUCUAUAUAUAUUUGAAUUGACUCGGUGUACAUUUAAGAGCCAUAUUAUUUGAAUUUCCCUUUCACAGAACACUUAACAUCUAUAUCUCAUUACCAUUUUAAUUCUAACAUAGAGAGUUCACAGACAAAUAAUUCUAUGUGUUACACAUGGUAAAAUACACGUUUAUUAGGUAAAUGUAUAUAUGAAUUCUUUUUGUUAUAUGUGGUACAGAUACUUCUAUUGUUGCAGAUAAACUUUUCCUACAGUAUAGUGAGACAAUGUUAGCUUGCUGCAAAAAUUGUCUACAUAUAAUCACCUUGUAUACAGGUCCAAAGCCACCCUCUCCGAGUAUCAUAUCUCGGGAAAAGUUACUUGUGGCAUUUGCAAUGCUUUGGAAGUCAAAUAAGGGCAACUCCAGAUCUUCAUUCUCAAUUUUGGUCAAGGCAACACUUUCCAAAUUCAACGUCAAUUUUUCUGCAGUGAUUCAAUAUGGAACAGAGGGGGAUUCUGAGGUCAUAAUUAGUUUUGCUGAUAAUAACUGUGAAGGAUUAGACACCUAUGAUUUAUAUCAUAUUUUUCGGACAGAACUAUAACUUAUAUAGGGACUACUUUGGGAAAAUCAAAUGACACGUCCCUCAACUAUUCCGGUUUAAUGCGAUAGGUCUCAACAAAAGAUUCCGCAAACCGGGUCAUUUAACUGUAAAUUUUUUUGAAUCAGGCUCUUUUUUAUGUUUUAAUUUCAUUUUAUGUGUUUAAUUUCUUUUUUUGUCCUGAAUUUCAUUUAAAGUUAGUAAAGUUAACUGCCUCGUCAGUAAGAUUCUGACGCCGUCAGAAUCUUUUUAACGGAAGGGCCUGAACCAAAAAAAUUGAAAGCUAAAUGACCCGAUUUGUGGAAUCUUUUGUUCAGGGACCUAUCGCAUAAAAUCGGGAUAGUUUAAGGAUAUAUCAUUUGAUUUUCCCGGACUACUUACUAUAUCUACUUGGUCAAAUUUCAUAUCUCCCUUUCUUGAAUAACAGUAUUGUAACAGAGACUAGUUUACCUUCUUUCUGCAGCUUUCUGUUCUUGCAUGCUACAAGGAAGAUUCGGCCAAGUAGCACUACUACCAGUACUGAAGCAAUGAGAAUGAACUCUAAUUUCCACUUCACUCUGGAACUGCGUAUUUUUACUGUGCGAAACAAAUACUAUAAAUUUACAAAAAAUUGUCAAAAAGCAAAGAUGAGUUGGAGUAAAAAAAAAGAGGACACAAAAUAUUCGCGAAGGUCUGUCUUACCUAUUUCAGACGAUGGCAUUCUUACGUAGAUAUCUUCUCCUUCUACUGUGUAGUCUCUAAUAUCAAUUAGGUCAGAAAACCAUAAGAUACAUCCAUGUCCACCUCUUCUGACAUCUGCAGUUGCAUAAGCUGUACAAGAACAGUUUUUCCGACAUGAUAUCUCACAUUCUUGAAGGUUCAUUUUCAUGUUAUACCAUGAGUGACGUGUGUCUGGUAACUUCACACCAGAAUAUUUCAUAAAGCCCUCCUCCCUCCCACAAACUAGAUUAGUUUUGCGGAUGCAUCCACCAGACCAAUCCGCUGCUUUCCACUCCUCUUGAAAUUUCGGAACAAAUCCCCUCAAGCAUUCACAUCUUGGUGCACUGUUGAUCUUACAUAUUCCAUAUACACCGCAUAGUCCAUAAUGAUCACAGUCACUGUCCUGCAUAGUAACGUAAACCAUCCAGAUUUGUUGUUGAUCAUUCCACACAAGAAGUUUUGAAUCUCCGGUUGGAGUCAGUACAAACCUCAUUAUAGCAGAAGUUGUAUUGAUGAGAUGAAACCUAUAGUAGAUUUCCUCUUCAUUGAAAACAAACACGUCUUUAAAAAGUCCAUUCGGGUUUUUGUUGGGAAGACCACCAAAUUUAUAACCAUUCCAUAGUCCUGUCCUCUUCCAAAUCACCGAAUCUUUUGACAGAAAAUAUUGUGGAAAACCAUUAGGAUCAAGUCCAUGGGAAAAACUGCCAACUGAUGGAUCAACGUCACUUCUCCACGAUGAAACGAUCCUGUUCAGACCGGUUACCAGGUCUAUCCCGUCUUUCAUGCCAGGUAGCAAAUUGUCUCCAGGGUGAUCAAAGCUCUGCCAUAUAAAAUCUUCUACGCUGUUAAAAUCAGGAUGCCCUUCCCUUAAAACUAAAUUCCCUGUAUCUAAUAGCUGUGCAACAGGAUUCUUCAUGGAUACAGACGUAUUCGAUGACCAUAUUAUUCCAGUACUACUAUCCACCAAUUGCAAUGUAAUUCCCUUGUGAUUGACCUGCACUAAGCCUGAGGUAUUCAUAAGAGGAUUAUCUCUAUUAGCAACCCAAACAACUGUCCCUCUGGAUAUUUUCUUGUACCAGAUGCCCAGAUAUCGAUUCGUUGAACUUCCUGGACUGAAAAAUCCAAGUUCAAACUCUCCACCUGCUGAUGUGAUAGUAUCACCAUCUCGUAAGGUCUGAUGCAUUCUGAUGGUAUCUACUGCCACAGACCUUGUUAUUGUACAGAUUAAAAUGUAGCAAGCCAAAAUGAAAGUAUUCAACUCCAUUAUCUUGCAAAAUGAAUGUAGUUUGCAUAACUUAACCACAAUCAAGGUGAACCAAAUACUAUAUAUAGUACCAACAAUUUCAGUAUAGCCACUUGGAUACUUUAAAUACCUAUCCUUAAAAAUAAAAAAUUAUAUUCCUACGAGUUAUUGAAGCUGACUUUGAUUAUAAUAUACAGUAGAGGUUAAAAUGGAACAGUGUAAGUCAACUCCAUUAUAUUGCAGAACUCUUCUAGCUUGCUAUAUCUGUUGCUAGUAAUGCAUAACUUGACCCCAACCAAGAAAAAACCAAUUUUUCAGUUUAAAAAAAACAUUUUUGUCUCUGUCAAACUUAGUCACUUGGAUUUGGAUACCUAAAUUAAUAUAAAACUUAUACUAUUAUUAGUAAUGAAAGCUUGAGUCUCUGAUUAUAAUAAUCAGUUAGCACUUGGGUCUGAUUGGUAGAUUUUAAUAAAAACGAAUUGCUUCGUACUCAGAUGUCGGUUCUUGACCUGUUCAAUCUGAUAUAGGAAUAUGAUAUUAGUGAUUAAAUCUUGACUUUGAUCAAAAGAGUUCAGAAUCUAAGCACCUUAUCACUAGCAGUGACCUGGUCUCUCAGCAGGCAUUUAUAUGAAGCGAAAUGUUCAAUUCUAAGUUCCAAGGUCAAAGGUUGCUAUGCAAACUGAAUAGACUUAUGACAUGGUAUUGAUCUGUUUUGAAUAAGGAUAUAUGAGCCUUUUUGGGUAAAUACUAAUGAUAUGGUAUUGAUAUGUUUUCGGCUAAUGUCAAAAGGUCUCAUACUAAUGAAAUUAUUUGACUACUUGUUCGUAAAAUGAUUGUUUCUUGUCUGGUAGGAUUUGGGUGUUGUGAUUCUGCAUACAAGAAAGUGAGGAAGUGAAAGAUAAAAUGAUUGAAUCAGUUUCUUCAAAUACAAUAUGCGCAUAGAAAGAAAGGUUUGGUUUUGAUGAAUAGUGAUUAAAAUUCUUAAAAACAGAUGUCUGUUGAUUGUCACCCAUUGUAAAUUCUAAGUGCAUGAGUGUUGACAAAAGAUUAAGUUCAAUCUUCUUCUUUUUUUUAAAAGAAAAAUAAUUUAAUAAUGAAAAGUCAUACGGCAUCUACAGAUAUAAUUGAAAUUGAACAAACACAUAAUCAUAUCGCUGUUAAAUCCUUCCUUCUUCGGUAGGCAACUAAGCGAUUUUUGAAGAGAUAUGUACGUGCUCUAAUACUUUCAAUAUUGUUUUGAGCAAUCGAUCAUAAAUGCAUCACCAUACAAACCUUUAUUACUGAAUCAAAACCAUGAAAAUCUCGCGGAUCUGUAAUCCCGAACAUGAUGAACAAUACAAAACCCACACAAAAACCAAACUCUCACGAGGAGAGACCAAACAAAACCCAAAUAAAUUGGGAACUUACUGGAAAAAAACAAGAGAUUAAUUAAUACUCCCUCCUUCCCAUUUUAAUAGUCUUGUUUGUUAAGAAAAAAUUCUCAUAUUAUUUGUCCUUCUUCUUUGUCCAAUACAAAUUUUAUACAAGUUUCAAUGUUAACAUUUAUUAGCUCACACGAUUUUCAUGAUUUACUAUGCAAACUUACUCAUACAAUCAGGGACGUAUCCAGGAUCAGCAACUUAUGGGGGCAAUGUAUAUACUCCGUGUGUCCCUCUCAUUUUUUUACAUUUUUUAAGACGCCUUCCAUAACUUUUUUCUAGAAAUUUUUCUUUUUUAUAUAAAAAUUAGAUAACAAAUAUAUAUUCAAAAGAAAAAAAUACAAAAUAAUUUAUCAAAUUAUAUCUUAUGAGAGCAUUAGAAUCUGUUUUUGGAUUGUGUUUCUGCUGAAUACACUGCUGCUUGGCCAUUCAGUUCUUUAAAAAAAUAAAAUGAAGCUUUGAAGAGUUGAACACUGGCAAAUACAUUAAUAUACCAACACAAGAACCAUGGGGGCAAUCCUUACUUGCUGAAAAGUUAGUAGUACUAACUUAUAAAAUCUACGCAGGGCACUGGGGGCAAGUACCCCCACUGCCCCCGGUGUAGAUACGUCCCUGCAUACAAUCAUAUGCUUCAUGUAUUCAGUAAUCUUUCUGAUUCUAUUUUAAGAGUUUACUAGCUUAUCUGUUACACAUGGUACUGGAAAUGUACUUAGCUACAUGUACUUGUGAAAAACGUUAGUUUAUUGCGUAUAUUUAUGGACAUGUAAUGUAUCUCACCUUGUAUACAGGUCCAAAGCCACCCUCUCCAAGUUUGUUGUCUGGCCAGAAGUUACUUGUGGCAUUUGCAAUGCUUUGGAAGUCGAAUAAUGGCAACUCCAGAUCUUCUUUCUCAGUUCUGGUCAAGGCAACACUUUCCAAAUUCAGUUUGAAGCUUUCUGCAAUGAUUGAAGGGCAACAAAUGCACAUUGAUGUAGUGCUGAAAUAAUUUCUACGAAAUUUCUGAUUAUUCCCCGAGGAUCCCUUUAUUAUGGUACUAUCGUAUUUACUCGGUGGGAAUUCAAAAUCUUCCUUUCCAAUUAUUAGUACUCCACUGUUUUUGACUUUUUUACAUGUAUUUUAAGGUGUUAGAAAAAUCACAUUUAAACAUAAUUAUUCUUUAUAAAAUUUAUAUCAAUUAAAAGUUUAGAAUCUAAAUUUUUAUCUGAUAUAAGAGUUGAUUUUUUUUAUUGAGUGUAGAUAUUAUUUUUUUACACCUCAAUAUACGUGUAAAAAAGUUGAACAUCAGCUAAAAUGGGACGAGAAUAGUAAAUAAUUACCUCUUUCUGCAGCUUUUUCUUCUUGUUUACUGGAAGAAAUAUUCCGCCAAGCAGUACUACUGCUAGUAUGGCUAAAAUGAGAAUGAACUCUAGCAUCCACUUUGCUCUGCGACUCUUUACUGCAUUAGUCAAAAUAUUUAACUUCCAAAGAAUACACCAUCAAAAAGCAAAUAGCUGAGGUACUAAUUUUAUAGAGCAAGAGUUGUUGUACAAAGAGUGAAGACACGAAGUAUUCACGAAGGUAGUCUUACCUAAUUCAGACGAAGGCAUUCUUACAUAUAUAUCUUGUCCAUCUUCAGAAUAGUCUCUAAUAUCAAUUAGCUUAGUAAACCAUAAGACACAUACAUGUCCACCUCUUCUAACAUCUGCAUUUGCAAAAGCUGUACAAGAACAGUUUUUGAGGCACAAUUUCUCACAUUCUUGAAGGUUCAUAUUCGUGUUAUACCAGGAGUGACGUGUGUCAGGUAACUUCACACCCGAAUAUUGCACAAAACCCUCAUCAGUCCCGCAGACAAAGAUUAUUCUGCCAUUUGUUAUAAUGUUAUUUUUUCUCGAUUUGAACUUACAUCUAAUAUCGCUCCAAUCGUUAGAAAACUUUCCGCCAUUAAAUAUUUUUAAUAUCGACAGUUUGAAACUUACUUUCAAUAAUUUCGAAACCGAAAAAGUUACUUUUAAAACUUCAUUCCAAUAUACUCAAAACGAACCGAAACUUCCUUCCAAUAAUUUCGAAACCGAAAAAAGUAAUUUUAAAAUUUUCUUCCAAUAUAUCCAAACUAAUAAGAUAAUUUUUAUUUUGGAUAUUUAUAAUUUAAAAUUUUCAUAAAAUUAGAAAAAAUAUAACAGAGAAUAUUUUUUUCCCUCAAUUUUUCCACCAUAAAAUUUGUUUUAAUGUUAUUUUUUCUCGAUUUCAAACGUACAUGUAAUAGAUCUCUUCUACUAUUUGGAAAUUUUUCACCAUAAAAUAUUUUUUAAUAUUGACCGUUUGAAAUUCUUUUCUAAUAAUUUCGAAACCGGAAAAAAUAGUGUUGGAACUUUCUUCCAAUACAUUCGAAAUUAAUUGAAACUUCUUUCUAAUAAUUUCGAAACCGAAAAAUAAUGUUGAAACUUUCUUCGAAUAUAUUCAAAACUAAUUAUAACUUCUUUCCAAUAAUUUCGAAACCUAAAGAGGUAGUUUUUAAAACUUUCUUUCAAUAUUCGAAACUAAAAAGAUAAUUUUUAUUUUUGAUAUUUUUAAUGCAAAAAUUUGAGAAAAUUUUGAAACUUCUUCCGAAUAUUGUCAAAACUAAUUGAAACUUCCUUUAAUUAAUUUCGAAACCAAAAAAGUUAUUUUAAAACUUUCUUCCGAUAUAUGAAAUGUCACAUCCCGGUCCCAAAAAAAAAAAUGCUUAUAUAAUACUUUUGAAUGUAUUAAAAUAGUUUCCGGGAUUUUUAGAUUUAACAAAAAUAUUUUGUUUUAGGAUUUAUAAGGAAUUUGCGAAUAGUAAGGUGACCCUAUAAAGGAGAAAGGACAUGAAGGGGUAAAAAUAAAAGUCUCAGAAUAAUUUUUAGAUAUUUUAUAAAUUACCAGAGCGGAGAAAUAGUGAACAGAAGUACGGUCAGAAUUGUAUGAUUUUGCACCGAACUGUGAUUAUAAAAUCCAGUUAUUAGAAAAUAGGUGAAAAUAGAAAAGACACAAAAUGAGCCAAGAAUUUUCCUAGAGUAUCUAAAUAAAUUGUGGAACUCAUUUAUGAAUUUUCGGAAAUUUUACGAAGCUCAAGGAAGUUAAAAUGAAAAGGAAUAAAGGAGCCGGAUACCCAAGAUUUCCGGACUGCAAAAUGACCUUUAAACUAAACCAGCGGAAUUUCAGAAGGAAUACUGAAGAGAAGGUUAGUACGUUUAUGAUCUUUGGAGUCUCUAGAACAUUCCUAUAUUGAGUUUGAAGAAAAAUCUCGAGAUUAAGAGUGGACAGGGAUCAGUGGAAUAAUAUCAGACCGAUACAUCCCUAAGAAAAAGUGAAAUAUUUUCGGACUCCAAAUGAGCUCAUUUUAUAGUCAAAAAUUCCCAAAUAAUAUACUAGGAAUUAUUAUAUCAUCAGAAUUCGUCAACGAGAUCAAGAAUGGGGAGAUUUAAAUUAAGAUUUUAACAGAAGUAAUUAGCUUAAAUGGAUAAUCAUCCAGAAUUCUCCCGAAUGCAUGUUGGCCAAGUCAGGAGGUGACACAUGGCAAUUACUUAAAGAUAACUAACAUUUAACUUUCUAAAACACCGCCCCAUCAUCAGCUUUCAUUUCAUUUGGUCGAAGCAAGCAGUGAAGAUAAAGAAAAAGAAAAAGAAUUCAAGAAAAAUUCAUAGAAAAAGAUUUCUAGCUCAGAUUUUCGUGUUCUAUAGCUUGUUGGAAAGAUCUCUUCAAGACCUUUAAUUCAAGAGGUAUGCUUCUUAUUUUUGUAAUCAUUAGCGUGUUCAAAAAGAUGGUUGAUUCUAGCUAUGAAUAGUGAUGUUCUUGGUGGAAGAAUUUCUUUAAAUCCUAAAAUAAGUACUAGGAGAUUAUGGUGUUAUAAUAAGCAUGUUUACAUGUUUGGAUUAUUGUUUAAGCUUGUAAAGUGGUUGUUCUUGAUUGGGUUUGGAAGGAGGAUCUGGUAUAAGUAUUAUAUGGUGAUUUGGAGGUUGUAUAAUUGUUUGGGCUGAUGAUUAACAUAAGUUUAAUUAGGGAAACGUUAAGAUUAUAGCCGUUAUCAUGGCCAAGUUGAAAUAACAGCCGCUGUUACUGUUCAUCCGAACAGUUUAGUUUCUACUUUAAGAGGUUUAUUUAUAUGGAUGGCUAGAGUUUGAUUAGUAGAUCGCGUGAGCGCUUGAAGCAUGCAAAACGGAUUUACGGUUUAGAAGUUAUGGCCAUUUUAGUACAGGACGCGCAGAAUCCUAGUUUCCGUAAGAAAAUGAACUUUGAGGUUACAAUUCGGCUAGUUCAAAGAUGAUAUAAAUCAUGGAAUAAUUUGAGUAAAUACUAGGGACAAAUUGGGAGGUAUAUGAGUUGGUUUCGUAAGAAAAACUCGAAUGAUUUAUAAGUGAGAAGUGUCAGAACCUAAAGGUGUAAAUAGUAACAAUAAUACGUGAGACGAGAAACAGUUAGUACCAAAUCUCUUUAAAAUGAAAGGAUUGAUAAUAAGACUGAUUAGAAGGGACUUUAAGGGUAGGUAACACGUACACACACUAUGAUAUAGAGUUAUAAAGGAUUUUAAUGAUUAAUUAUGUCCCUUAUAGGUGCACAGAAAGGUGCAGAAGAACUUUAAGGACCAGGAAGUUGUAACUGAGUUGCUGAAGUAAGGUGAGUAUACAUCAACACUACUUAUAUCUAUGUGAUAUGCGAAUUACGUGCUUUUAUAUGCUGAAAGUGAUAUAUUAGAAUAUUGAUUCGACUAUGUGAUUCUAUACAUGACUGGAGUUCUUUGAUGUCAAUGUAGUGUGAUGAUAUAUCAAAGUACAUGUAUAUAUGGAAUGUGUAUUGACCUGUGAUUUCACGAACGAUACAUUAACAUAGAGUCUGCAUAUAGAAUAGGUCAUAUGCACACCCUACAUUCAUUUGAUAGUGAUAAAUUAAAAAGUCAAAGUGACAGUCACUUGUGUAAUGGCCACCUUUAUAUAUGGAAAUGGAACCUACGGGUAAUUACGGAGCAGACUAUAUGUCAGCCAUAGACGGGGCCGACUUGUGUCGGACAUAGACGGAGCCGAUUUCCAUAGUCGGACAUAGACGGAGCUGGCCAGACACACAUGGAUCCUUUGAGGGUACAUGUGGAAACACGGGCAUUAUACAGUGAACUGUUCACAAUAGAAAAAGAAAAAGAAACAGAGAUGCAUGCAUGCAUAGAUACAAGCUCAUACAUUCGUUGCAUACAUGAUUAACAAAAGUAAGUGAUUUAUGAUUAACUAAAGUUGAUGUAUAUUCAUUGAGUUGCGACUCAUGGAAAUCGCUCAAUUUUCCAGGAGAUGAAUAAUUAGUAGUGUGUUUUGUAUGAGUGCUCAGUGGAGAUUGUAGAUAGUGCCUAAGAGACGGUGGUCCAGCAGGAUGCUCCAGACUCCUCCAUCAGCCGAUGCACAUAUAUGUAGUUUGAGAGAUUGUGUUUGUGUACUCUAGACUUACUAAGUGUGCAAGAAAUCACGAAGAUAAAUUUAUGUUUAAAUUCUGAAUAUGUGUGGUGAAUAAGGAUGAUGGAAAUGUAUUGAAAUGAUAUGUUGCUUGGUAAAUGUUGUUGAAGUAGUUGAGAUUUUCUGUUCUGGUGAAGAUCAAGAUAUAGCCAAGCAAUAGCUGAUGGUUAUAUUAUCCACUUAUACAGGAUAAGAUAUUUCAUAAUAUUAUUAAAUUACAUGAUUUUGCUAGAAGUGCAUGAAAAUGAUUAUAUGGUACAAGGGUGUUACAUGAAAACUAAAAAGAUCAUUUUUAUUUUUGAUAUUUUUUAAUGUAAAAAAAAAAUCGGAAAAUUAGAAAAAUAUUAUGGAGUUCUAGAGCAACCACCUCAACGCCCCUCGUUUCUCAUUUGUAUAAGUAUAUUGAUUGUAUAUAUAUUAAAUUCUAACUGUUAACACGCUCAAUUUUUUAUUAAUUAAAGUAGGUGUACACUGCAACUUUCAAUUGAAGAUAGUUCAUUGUUAUAUUUUCAAAAUGCUCACACAUAUUAUAUUAGUCGAUGAAAUAAAUAUAACUAUAACAAAAUUUUUCUUGAAAGUUAAAAAAAUUUAAUAUAUGUAAUUUUUUUGAGGAUAGAUAUAUAAUUGAAACAGAAUCAAUAUAAUUAACUCAUCUAAAUUGCUCUCUGGUACUACUCUCUCACUUUUCCAAUAACUGAAACCCUGCAAAUAUUGAUAUUUAAAUGCUUCAUAAAUAUUUUAAUCCUAAUAUAGUAAUAUAUUUGAAAUCCUGGUAACCACCUCUAUCUUUUUAUUGUAGAUACAUCAUUCCUUGAAUAAGAUUCAUCUUGCCAAGAGAUACUUAUGCCAUCAAUUUUUACAUUUUCUCAAUGACAGCAUUACUUCCCUGCAUUUCCCUCGACGAAUAAAACACAGCACCAGCUCAAUGACAUCUCAUGAAUCUUGCUUUUCCCUAGACCAAGAGGUUUUGGAUAAAUAACAGUGUUAUCACUAUGGUCGAGGUAAGAGAGUAGUCAUUGUUAAUUCGUUGGAUGUUGACAGAUUUUGGUUGCUCAAAAAUUGGUCUGCUUCAAACAAAUCUCUCUCCAUGAAAAAACCAGGUUGCUUAGGAUGCGGCAGCUUCAUAUUACUGCUCAACAUCAGAACUACCUCUGACAUGACUGGCCUGUCCUUUGGAUCUUGUUGAACGCAAAGUAAUCCAAUUUGUAUAACUCGCAAGGCUUCAUAAUGGUUAUUGGGCUCCAAGAUCACUCCAUCAAUGAGUUCCAACAGUUUGCCUUGUUUGUAACUUAUCCAUGCCUAAAAUUUAAUUAUGCAACUUAUCAGUGGUAAGAAGCAUAUAGCAUGAGGAACGUCAUAGACACUUAGGCCCUGCUCUUGAGUUUUUUUAGGAGAGAAAGCAAGUGAAUGUAAGUGAAAGUUUGCAUCCCACUUUUGGAGUGAAAGUUUUGGAGUGAAAUUAUAUUAUAAUUGCAUCCAUUUUCACUUGUUUUCGUCCCUUUAAAAAACUCGGGAGCACAAACAUGAGUGAAAGUUAUAUAACUUUACUUCCUCCUCACUUGCUUUCCUCCCUCUUUAUAACUCGGGAGCAGGGCCUUAGUAUAUUUAUACUCACAUGCCCAAGUAGGUUAAAGCUGUGAUCAGGAUGAUUGAAUAAUCUGUUUUUCAUUCCACUUGCUAUCUCUACUAGCAAAACGCCAAAGCUGUAGACAUCGGAUUUAACAGAAAAUUGUCCAUCAAUAGCAUACUCCGGGGACAUGUAACCACUGCGAGAUGAG
This 12705-nucleotide long non-coding RNA is filed under the name Daucus carota (carrot). RNAcentral describes it as "long non-coding RNA (DCAR_LNC005708)". The record is from RNAcentral. Lineage: Eukaryota; Viridiplantae; Streptophyta; Magnoliopsida; Apiales; Apiaceae.